AUUGAACGCUGGCGGCAUGCCUUACACAUGCAAGUCGAACGGCAGCACGGGAGCAAUCCUGGUGGCGAGUGGCGAACGGGUGAGUAAUAUAUCGGAACGUGCCCAGUAGUGGGGGAUAGCCCGGCGAAAGCCGGAUUAAUACCGCAUACGACCUAAGGGUGAAAGCGGGGGACCGUAAGGCCUCGCGCUAUUGGAGCGGCCGAUAUCAGAUUAGGUAGUUGGUAGGGUAAAAGCCUACCAAGCCAUCGAUCUGUAGCUGGUCUGAGAGGACGACCAGCCACGCUGGAACUGAGACACGGCCCAGACUCCUACGGGAGGCAGCAGUGGGGAAUUUUGGACAAUGGGCGAAAGCCUGAUCCAGCCAUGCCGCGUGCAGGAAGAAGGCCUUCGGGUUGUAAACUGCUUUUGUCGGGGAAGAAACGCUCUGGGCUAAUACCCUGGGGUAAUGACGGUACCCGAAGAAUAAGCACCGGCUAACUACGUGCCAGCCGCCGCCGUAA
This 500-nucleotide ribosomal RNA is filed under the name uncultured bacterium. Its description in RNAcentral is "partial 16S ribosomal RNA". It matches the Rfam family "Bacterial small subunit ribosomal RNA", at positions 29 to 523 of the family's 1533-position model. The record is from RNAcentral.